This 74-nucleotide transfer RNA is filed under the name Marivita cryptomonadis. RNAcentral's name for it is "tRNA-Glu(ctc)". The record is from RNAcentral. Lineage: Bacteria; Pseudomonadati; Pseudomonadota; Alphaproteobacteria; Rhodobacterales; Roseobacteraceae.
GGGUGACUUCGAUCAGGGCGACCACCUUCUUCUCAAGAAGGUUCUCCAUCAGGUUCUUUUCCUGCGCCGCCUGC